RNAcentral lists this ribosomal RNA (1480 nucleotides) under Orthotylus sp. WCW-2003b. RNAcentral describes it as "SSU rRNA". It matches the Rfam family "Eukaryotic small subunit ribosomal RNA", at positions 427 to 1792 of the family's 1831-position model. Lineage: Eukaryota; Metazoa; Arthropoda; Insecta; Hemiptera; Miridae. The record is from RNAcentral.
AGCAGGCCACGCCAAAUUACCCACUCCCGGCACGGGGAGGUAGUGACAAUAAAUAACGAUACGGGACUCAUAUGAGGCCCCGUAAUCGGAAUGAGUACACUUUAAAUCCUUUAACAAGGAUCCAUUGGAGGGCAAGUCUGGUGCCAGCAGCCGCGGUAAUUCCAGCUCCAAUAGCGUAUAUUAAAGUUGUUGCGGUUAAAAAGCUCGUAGUUGGUUCUGCGUGCUACGCUGUCGGUUCGCCGCCUGCCGGUGUAACUGGCAUGCCGUGGCAUGUCCUGUCGGUGGCGUUCGGGAGCCUUGUCUAGGUGAGACCUCCGAACUGAAAGGAACGGGUGGUUAUUCAACCGGAGGCCUCCCCGUUCGCCUACUCUAUCCUACCUAGGUGCUCUUCACCGAGUGUCGAGGUAGGCCGACACGUUUACUUUGAACAAAUUAGAGUGCUCAAAGCAGGCUGAAAUUUCUGCCUGAAUAGUGGUGCAUGGAAUAAUAAAACAGGACCUCGGUUCUAUUUUGUUGGUUCUUAGGAACACGAGGUAAUGAUCAAUACGGACAGGCGGGGGCAUUCGUAUUGCGACGUUAGACUUGGCAAAUGCUUUCGCGGUGAAAUUCUUGGAUCGUCGCAAGACGCACAAGAGCGAAAGCAUUUGCCAAGUAUGUCUUGAUUGAUCAAGAACGAAAGUUAGAGGUUCGAAGGCGAUCAGAUACCGCCCUAGUUCUAACCAUAAACGAUGCCAGCCAGCGAUCCGCCGAUGUUCCUCCGAUGACUCGGCGGGGAGCUUUUUCCCGGGAAACCAAAGCUUUUGGGUUCCCGGGGGAAGUAUGGUUGCAAAGCUGAAACUUAAAGGAAUUGACGGAAGGGCACCACCAGGAGUGGAGCCUGCGGCUUAAUUUGACUCAACACGGGAAACCUCACCAGGCCAGGACAUUGGAAGGAUUGACAGAUUGAUAGCUCUUUCUUGAUUCAGUGGGUAGUGGUGCAUGGCCGUUCUUAGUUGGUGGAUCGAUUUGUCUGGUUAAUUCCGAUAACGAACGAGACUCUAGCUUAUUAACUAGGCGUCUUCCGGUGCCCUCGUCACCGGCGACACUCAUUCUUCUUAAGGGGACAAGCGGCUUUUAGCCGCACGAGAUUGAGCAAUAACAGGUCUGUGAUGCCCUUAGAUGUCCUGGGCCGCACGCGCGCUACACUGAAAGAAUCAGCGUGUGCCUCCCUGGCCGAAAGGCCCGGGUAAUCCGCUGAACCUCUUGCGUGCUAGGAAUUGGGGCUUGCAAUUGUUCCCCAUGAACGAGGAAUUCCCAGUAAGCGCGAGUCAUAAGCUCGCGUUGAUUACGUCCCUGCCCUUUGUACACACCGCCCGUCGCUACUACCGAUUGAAUGAUUUAGUGAGGUCUUCGGACUGGCGGUAAUCCCUACCGACUUGUCGAUAUCGAUGAACGCUGGAAAGAUGACCAAACUUGAUCAUUUAGAGGAAGUAAAAGUCGU